This 397-nucleotide ribosomal RNA is filed under the name uncultured Sphingobacteriales bacterium. Its description in RNAcentral is "bacterial SSU rRNA". It matches the Rfam family "Bacterial small subunit ribosomal RNA", at positions 984 to 1382 of the family's 1533-position model. The record is from RNAcentral. Lineage: Bacteria; Pseudomonadati; Bacteroidota; Sphingobacteriia; Sphingobacteriales.
AACGUAAGAUGACUGUAGGUGAAAGCUUACAUCUCUUCGGAGCAUUUUACGAGGUGCUGCAUGGUUGUCGUCAGCUCGUGCCGUGAGGUGUCGGGUUAAGUCCCAUAACGAGCGCAACCCUACCUUUAGUUGCCAUCAGGUUAAGCUGGGGACUCUAAAGGAACUGCCUACGCAAGUAGUGAGGAAGGCGGGGAUGACGUCAAAUCAGCACGGCCCUUACGUCCAGGGCUACACACGUGCUACAAUGGCCGAUACAGAGGGCAGCGACACUGCGAGGUGAAGCCAAUCCCGUAAAAUCGGUCUCAGUCCGGAUUGGAGUCUGCAACUCGACUCCAUGAAGUUGGAAUCGCUAGUAAUCGUGGAUCAGCAUGCCACGGUGAAUACGUUCCCGGGCCUU